GACGAACGCUGGCGGCGUGCUUAACACAUGCAAGUCGAACGGAAAGGCCCUGCUUUUGUGGGGUGCUCGAGUGGCGAACGGGUGAGUAACACGUGAGCAACCUGCCCUUGACUUUGGGAUAACUUCAGGAAACUGGGGCUAAUACCGGAUAGGAGCUCCUGCUGCAUGGUGGGGGUUGGAAAGUUUCGGCGGUUGGGGAUGGACUCGCGGCUUAUCAGCUUGUUGGUGGGGUAGUGGCUUACCAAGGCUUUGACGGGUAGCCGGCCUGAGAGGGUGACCGGCCACAUUGGGACUGAGAUACGGCCCAGACUCCUACGGGAGGCAGCAGUGGGGAAUAUUGCACAAUGGGCGGAAGCCUGAUGCAGCAACGCCGCGUGCGGGAUGACGGCCUUCGGGUUGUAAACCGCUUUCGCCUGUGACGAAGCGUGAGUGACGGUAAUGGGUAAAGAAGCACCGGCUAACUACGUGCCAGCAGCCGCGGUGAUACGUAGGGUGCGAGCGUUGUCCGGAUUUAUUGGGCGUAAAGGGCUCGUAGGUGGUUGAUCGCGUCGGAAGUGUAAUCUUGGGGCUUAACCCUGAGCGUGCUUUCGAUACGGGUUGACUUGAGGAAGGUAGGGGAGAAUGGAAUUCCUGGUGGAGCGGUGGAAUGCGCAGAUAUCAGGAGGAACACCAGUGGCGAAGGCGGUUCUCUGGGCCUUUCCUGACGCUGAGGAGCGAAAGCGUGGGGAGCGAACAGGCUUAGAUACCCUGGUAGUCCACGCUGUAAACGGUGGGUACUAGGUGUGGGGUCCAUUCCACGGGUUCCGUGCCGUAGCUAACGCUUUAAGUACCCCGCCUGGGGAGUACGGCCGCAAGGCUAAAGCUCAAAGGAAUUGACGGGGCCCCGCACAAGCGGCGGAGCAUGCGGAUUAAUUCGAUGCAACGCGUAGAACCUUACCUGGGUUUGACAUGGAUCGGGAGCGCUCAGAGAUGGGUGUGCCUCUUUUGGGGUCGGUUCACAGGUGGUGCAUGGCUGUCGUCAGCUCGUGUCGUGAGAUGUUGGGUUAAGUCCCGCAACGAGCGCAACCCUUGUUCACUGUUGCCAGCACGUUAUGGUGGGGACUCAGUGGAGACCGCCGGGGUCAACUCGGAGGAAGGUGGGGAUGGCGUCAAGUCAUCAUGCCCCUUAUGUCCAGGGCUUCACGCAUGCUACAAUGGCUGGUACAGAGAGUGGCGAGCCUGUGAGGGUGAGCGAAUCUCGGAAAGCCGGUCUCAGUUCGGAUUGGGGUCUGCAACUCGACCUCAUGAAGUCGGAGUCGCUAGUAAUCGCAGAUCAGCAACGCUGCGGUGAAUACGUUCCCGGG
This 1343-nucleotide ribosomal RNA is filed under the name uncultured bacterium. RNAcentral's name for it is "16S ribosomal RNA". It matches the Rfam family "Bacterial small subunit ribosomal RNA", at positions 28 to 1378 of the family's 1533-position model. The record is from RNAcentral.